This 73-nucleotide transfer RNA is filed under the name Agelas schmidtii (Pipes of Pan sponge). RNAcentral describes it as "tRNA-His". It matches the Rfam family "tRNA". Rfam says of the family: Transfer RNA (tRNA) molecules are approximately 80 nucleotides in length. Lineage: Eukaryota; Metazoa; Porifera; Demospongiae; Agelasida; Agelasidae. The record is from RNAcentral.
AUGAGAAUAGCUUAAUUGGCAGGGCUUAAGUUUGUGGUGCUUAAAAGUAAGAGUUCGAGUCUCUUUUCUCAUC